This 494-nucleotide ribosomal RNA is filed under the name uncultured bacterium. Its description in RNAcentral is "partial 16S ribosomal RNA". It matches the Rfam family "Bacterial small subunit ribosomal RNA", at positions 28 to 507 of the family's 1533-position model. The record is from RNAcentral.
GACGAACGCUGGCGGCGUGCUUAACACAUGCAAGUCGAACGGUGAAGCGCCUUCCUUUUUGGUGGGUGUGGAUGAGUGGCGAACGGGUGAGUAACACGUGAGUAACCUGCCCCCUUCUUCUGGAUAACCGCAUGAAAGUGUGGCUAAUACGGGAUAUUCUGGGUCUGUCGCAUGAUGGGUCUGGGAAAGAUAUUGUUUCGGUGGGGGAUGGGCUCGCGGCCUAUCAGCUUGUUGGUGGGGUGAUGGCCUACCAAGGCGGUGACGGGUAGCCGGCCUGAGAGGGUGGACGGUCACACUGGGACUGAGACACGGCCCAGACUCCUACGGGAGGCAGCAGUGGGGAAUAUUGCACAAUGGGCGCAGGCCUGAUGCAGCGACGCCGCGUGAGGGAUGGAGGCCUUCGGGUUGUGAGCCUCUUUCGCCAGUGAAGCAGGCCUGCCUCGUUUGUGGGUGGGUUGACGGUAGCUGGAGAAGAAGCGCCGGCUAACUACGUG